RNAcentral lists this ribosomal RNA (700 nucleotides) under uncultured bacterium. Its description in RNAcentral is "bacterial SSU rRNA". It matches the Rfam family "Bacterial small subunit ribosomal RNA", at positions 42 to 787 of the family's 1533-position model. The record is from RNAcentral.
UCAGGCCUAACACAUGCAAGUCGAACGAAGUAGCAAUACUUAGUGGCAGACGGGUGAGUAACAUGUAGGUAUCUGCCCUUUGGCCUGGAAUAACACGAGGAAACUUGUGCUAAUACCGGAUAAGUCUUUACGGAGAAAGCUUUAUGCACCAUUGGAUGAGCCUGCACUUGAUUAGUUUGUUGGUGGGGUAAUGGCCUACCAAGACUGUGAUCAAUAGCUGAUUUGAGAGGAUGAUCAGCCACAUUGGGACUGAGACACGGCCCAAACUCCUACGGGAGGCAGCAGUGGGGAAUCUUGCACAAUGGAGGAAACUCUGAUGCAGCGAUGCCGCGUGAGUGAAGAAGGCCCUUGGGUUGUAAAGCUCUUUCGUCGGGGAAGAAAAUGACUGUACCCGAAUAAGAAGGUCCGGCUAACUUCGUGCCAGCAGCCGCGGUAAUACGAAGGGACCUAGCGUAGUUCGGAAUUACUGGGCUUAAAGAGUUCGUAGGUGGUUGAAAAAGUUGGUGGUGAAAUCCCAGAGCUUAACUCUGGAACUGCCAUCAAAACUUUUCAGCUAGAGUAUGAUAGAGGAAAGCAGAAUUUCUAGUGUAGAGGUGAAAUUCGUAGAUAUUAGAAAGAAUACCAAUUGCGAAGGCAGCUUUCUGGAUCAUUACUGACACUGAGGAACGAAAGCAUGGGUAGCGAAGAGGAUUAGAUACCC